This 1033-nucleotide ribosomal RNA is filed under the name uncultured bacterium. RNAcentral describes it as "bacterial SSU rRNA". It matches the Rfam family "Bacterial small subunit ribosomal RNA", at positions 346 to 1399 of the family's 1533-position model. The record is from RNAcentral.
AGGCAGCAGUGGGGAAUAUUGCACAAUGGGGGAAACCCUGAUGCAGCAACGCCGCGUGAGUGAUGACGGUCUUCGGAUUGUAAAGCUCUGUCUUCAGGGACGAUAAUGACGGUACCUGAGGAGGAAGCCACGGCUAACUACGUGCCAGCAGCCGCGGUAAUACGUUGGUGGCGAGCGUUGUCCGGAUUUACUGGGCGUAAAGGGAGCGUAGGCGGAUUUUUAAGUGAGAUGUGAAAUACUCGGGCUUAACCUGAGUGCUGCAUUUCAAACUGGAAGUCUAGAGUGCAGGAGAGGAGAAGGGAAUUCCUAGUGUAGCGGUGAAAUGCGUAGAGAUUAGGAAGAACACCAGUGGCGAAGGCGCUUCUCUGGACUGUAACUGACGCUGAGGCUCGAAAGCGUGGGGAGCAAACAAGAUUAGAUACCCUGGUAGUUCACGCCGUAAACGAUGAAUACUAGGUGCAGGGGUUGUCAUGACCUCUGUGCCGCCGCUAACGCAUUAAGUAUUCCGCCUGGGGAGUACGGUCGCAAGAUUAAAACUCAAAGGAAUUGACGGGGGCCCGCACAAGCAGCGGAGCAUGUGGUUUAAUUCGAAGCAACGCGAAGAACCUUACCUAGACUUGACAUCUCCUGCAUUACUCUUAAUCGAGGAAGUCCCUUCGGGGACAGGAUGACAGGUGGUGCAUGGUUGUCGUCAGCUCGUGUCGUGAGAUGUUGGGUUAAGUCCCGCAACGAGCGCAACCCUUAUUGUUAGUUGCCAUCAUUAAGUUGGGCACUCUAGCGAGACUGCCCGGGUUAACCGGGAGGAAGGUGGGGAUGACGUCAAAUCAUCAUGCCCCUUAUGUCUAGGGCUACACACGUGCUACAAUGGUCGGUACAAUAAGACGCAAGCCCGCGAGGGGGAGCAAAACUGGAAAACCGAUCUCAGUUCGGAUUGUAGGCUGAAACUCGCCUACAUGAAGCUGGAGUUGCUAGUAAUCGCGAAUCAGCAUGUCGCGGUGAAUACGUUCCCGGGCCUUGUACACACCGCCCGUCA